This 67-nucleotide transfer RNA is filed under the name Gesonula punctifrons. RNAcentral describes it as "tRNA-Glu". The record is from RNAcentral. Lineage: Eukaryota; Metazoa; Arthropoda; Insecta; Orthoptera; Acrididae.
AUUUAUAUAGUUUAAAAAAACAUUACAUUUUCACUGUAAAAAUAAUAUUUUUAUAUAUUUAUAAAUA